GAUGAACGCUGGCGGCGUGCCUAAUACAUGCCAGUCGAGCGAACGGACGAGAAGCUUGCUUCUCUGAUGUUAGCGGCGGACGGGUGGGUAACACGUGGAUAACCUACCUAUAAGACUGGGAUAACUUCGGGAAACCGGAGCUAAUACCGGAUGAUAUUUUGAACCGCAUGGUUCAAAAGUGAAAGACGGUCUUGCUGUCACUUAUAGAUGGAUCCGCGCUGCAUUAGCUAGUUGGUAAGGUAACGGCUUACCAAGGCAACGAUGCAUAGCCGACCUGAGAGGGUGAUCGGCCACACUGGAACUGAGACACGGUCCAGACUCCUACGGGAGGCAGCAGUAGGGAAUCUUCCGCAAUGGGCGAAAGCCUGACGGAGCAACGCCGCGUGAGUGAUGAAGGUCUUCGGAUCGUAAAACUCUGUUAUUAGGGAAGAACAUAUGUGUAAGUAACUGUGCACAUCUUGACGGUACCUAAUCAGAAAGCCACGGCUAACUACGUG
RNAcentral lists this ribosomal RNA (497 nucleotides) under uncultured bacterium. Its description in RNAcentral is "partial 16S ribosomal RNA". It matches the Rfam family "Bacterial small subunit ribosomal RNA", at positions 28 to 507 of the family's 1533-position model. The record is from RNAcentral.